RNAcentral lists this ribosomal RNA (253 nucleotides) under uncultured bacterium. RNAcentral's name for it is "partial 16S ribosomal RNA". It matches the Rfam family "Bacterial small subunit ribosomal RNA", at positions 524 to 776 of the family's 1533-position model. The record is from RNAcentral.
UACGAAUGGGGCUAGCGUUGCUCGGAAUGACUGGGCGUAAAGGGCGCGUAGGCGGCUUGCACAGUCAGGCGUGAAAUUCCUGGGCUCAACCUGGGGACUGCGCUUGAGACGUGUGGGCUUGAGUGGGGAAGAGGGUCGUGGAAUUCCCAGUGUAGAGGUGAAAUUCGUAGAUAUUGGGAAGAACACCAGUGGCGAAGGCGACUUCCUGGCCUGUUCUUGACGCUGAGGCGCGAAAGCUAGGGUAGCAAACGGG